GGUUAAGUGAAUAAGGGCGCACGGUGGAUGCCUUGGCACUAGGAGCCGAUGAAGGACGGGACUAACACCGAUAUGCUUUGGGGAGCUGUAAGUAAGCUAUGAUCCAGAGAUUUCCGAAUGGGGGAACCCAAUAUCUUUUAUAGGAUAUUACUUUUCAGUGAAUACAUAGCUGAUUAGAGGUAGACGCAGAGAACUGAAACAUCUUAGUACCUGCAGGAAGAGAAAGAAAAUUCGAUUCCCUGAGUAGCGGCGAGCGAAACGGGAAGAGCCCAAACCAACAAGCUUGCUUGUUGGGGUUGUAGGACUCCAAUAUGGUAGUCUGUUAGUAUAGUUGAAGGAUUUGGAAAAUUCCGCUAAAGAGGGUGAAAGCCCCGUAGACGAAAUGCUAACAACACCUAGGAGGAUCCUGAGUACGGCGGAACACGAGAAAUUCCGUCGGAAUCCGCGGGGACCAUCCCGCAAGGCUAAAUACUCCCUAGUGACCGAUAGUGAACCAGUACCGUGAGGGAAAGGUGAAAAGCACCCCGGAAGGGGAGUGAAAUAGAUCCUGAAACCGUGUGCCUACAACAAGUCAAAGCUCGUUAAUGAGUGAUGGCGUGCCUUUUGUAGAAUGAACCGGCGAGUUACGAUUGCAUGCGAGGUUAAGUCGAAGAGACGGAGCCGCAGCGAAAGCGAGUCUGAAUAGGGCGAAUGAGUAUGUAGUCGUAGACCCGAAACCAUGUGAUCUACCCAUGUCCAGGUUGAAGGUGCGGUAAAACGCACUGGAGGACCGAACCCACGUACGUUGAAAAGUGCGGGGAUGAGGUGUGGGUAGCGGAGAAAUUCCAAACGAACUUGGAGAUAGCUGGUUCUCUCCGAAAUAGCUUUAGGGCUAGCCUCGGAAUUGAGAAUGAUGGAGGUAGAGCACUGUUUGGACUAGGGGCCCAUCUCGGGUUACCGAAUUCAGAUAAACUCCGAAUGCCAUUCAUUUAUAUCCGGGAGUCAGACUGCGAGUGAUAAGAUCCGUAGUCGAAAGGGAAACAGCCCAGACCACCAGCUAAGGUCCCAAAAUAUAUGUUAAGUGGAAAAGGAUGUGGGGUUGCACAGACAACUAGGAUGUUGGCUUAGAAGCAGCCACCAUUUAAAGAGUGCGUAAUAGCUCACUAGUCGAGUGACCCUGCGCCGAAAAUGUACCGGGGCUAAACAUAUUACCGAAGCUGUGGACUACACCAUUAGGUGUAGUGGUAGGAGAGCGUUCUAAGGGCGUUGAAGGUCGAUCGUGAGGACGGCUGGAGCGCUUAGAAGUGAGAAUGCCGGUAUGAGUAGCGAAAGACAGGUGAGAAUCCUGUCCACCGUAUGACUAAGGUUUCCUGGGGAAGGCUCGUCCGCCCAGGGUUAGUCGGGACCUAAGCCGAGGCCGAUAGGCGUAGGCGAUGGACAACAGGUUGAUAUUCCUGUACCAGUUGUUUUUGUUUGAGCAAUGGAGGGACGCAGUAGGCUAAGGAAUGCAUGCGAUUGGAAGUGCAUGUCCAAGCAAUGAGUCUUGAGUAGAGUUAAAUGCUUUACUCUUUAAGGACAAGUUGUGACGGGGAGCGAAAUAAUAGUAGCGAAGUUCCUGAUGUCACACUGCCAAGAAAAGCUUCUAGUGAGAAAAUAACUGCCCGUACCGUAAACCGACACAGGUAGUCGAGGAGAGUAUCCUAAGGUGAGCGAGCGAACUCUCGUUAAGGAACUCGGCAAAAUGACCCCGUAACUUCGGGAGAAGGGG
This 1747-nucleotide ribosomal RNA is filed under the name Enterococcus faecalis. Its description in RNAcentral is "partial 23S ribosomal RNA". It matches the Rfam family "Bacterial large subunit ribosomal RNA", at positions 1 to 1748 of the family's 2925-position model. Lineage: Bacteria; Bacillati; Bacillota; Bacilli; Lactobacillales; Enterococcaceae. The record is from RNAcentral.